ACCCGCUGAACUUAAGCAUAUCAAUAAGCGGAGGAGAAGAAACUAACAGGGAUUGCCCUAGUAACGGCGAGUGAAGCGGCAACAGCUCACAUUUGAAAUCUGGCUCUUUCAGAGACCGAGUUGUGAUUUGCAGAGAGCGCUUUGCCGCUGGCGGCGGGCCAAGUUCUUUGGAACAAGACGUCACCAAGGGUGAGAAUCCCGUACGCGGUCACUAUCCUUCCCCGUGGAACGACCCUUCGACGAGGCGAGUUGUUUGUUAAUGCUGCUCUAAAUGGGAGGUAAAUUUCUUCUAAAGCUGAAUACUGCCCAGAGACCAACAGCGCACAAGUAGAGUGAGCGAAAGAUGAAAAGCACUUAGGAAAGAGAGUCAAAUAGCACGAGAUAUUGUUGAAAGGAAAGCGCUUGCAGCCAGACUUGCCUGUAGUUGCUUAUCCGGACUUUUGUCCGGUGCACUCUUCUAUGGGCAGGCCAGCAUCCGGUUAGGCGGUUAGAUAAAGGUCUCUGUCACGUACCUCUCUUCGGGAGGCCUAUAUAGGGUAGACGACAUGUAACCAGCUCAGACUGAGGUCCGCGCAUCUGCUAAGAUGCUGGCGUAAUGGCUGUAAGCGGCCCGUCUUGAAACACGG
Molecule: ribosomal RNA, 626 nt
Filed under: uncultured fungus
Lineage: Eukaryota; Fungi
Description: LSU rRNA
Rfam family: Eukaryotic large subunit ribosomal RNA
Source: RNAcentral